UUUCCUUAUCCAUCACGCCAGGUCACCGGUGUGUCUUGCCAUCCUUUGGUUGCAGGAUCCUUCUCUGGGGCAGGUGAGUCCUGCUGUCUCAGGAGCCUGGGGCCUGGCCUUCCGGCUGCCUGGACAGGACCCUCUGCUCACAGCAAACACCGUCUCUAUCCUCUGAGCUGGAAGACCAAGCACCAGCCAGGGCACUUGCAUUUCUGCUGCAGGACACGCAGAGAUGCACAGCCACAGAUAACCUAGCGCCACUCUCAAUUACAGUCUCCUUGAGAGAGGCUGAACUGCUCAGUGCCUGCCAAGAGAUGGUGACUCCAAGCUGUGGAUUUGGUCUGUGUCCCUCCGAGUGGGUUUGCAGAAUGUGUCUGAUUUUCUCCUUCAUGUUACCCGUCAAGGGCAGAAGGUUAUACAAUACUCUGUCAACACAGGCAGCCACCUGCUCCCUACUGCUGGGCCAGGGGCUGGGGGCAGUGGCGGGGUGUUAAGAGGAAUGUCAGCCUUGCAUGAACGCCUACUAUGUGCUGGGCCCUGUGCCAGGCACGGAACUGGCGCUGUUUCAGGGUUUCCCCAAGGUCAUGGCCAGAAUCACCUCAGCUCCAGCCCUGAGCCCCUGUGAACAUGUGGGGGUCGGCAGGAAGGAGACAGAGGGGAGCGGAGCAGAGGCAGCCAGAAGGAAGCAGGGAGAGGAGAGAAAAAAGAGGACGAGAGUGUAGGAUUCAAGGGCAAACUUCAUGGUCAGACGACCUUGAGAAUCACUUCUUUCUCUGACUAGGGUUCCUGUAAAAUAUAAACUGCAG
This is a long non-coding RNA of Chinchilla lanigera (long-tailed chinchilla), 797 nucleotides long. RefSeq lists it as uncharacterized. NCBI's taxonomy places the organism in Eukaryota, Metazoa, Chordata, Mammalia, Rodentia, Chinchillidae. The transcript is spliced from 3 exons. The record is from RefSeq and is a predicted model, not a curated record.